This 413-nucleotide ribosomal RNA is filed under the name uncultured bacterium. Its description in RNAcentral is "bacterial SSU rRNA". It matches the Rfam family "Bacterial small subunit ribosomal RNA", at positions 506 to 917 of the family's 1533-position model. The record is from RNAcentral.
UGCCAGCAGCCGCGGUAAAACGUAGGAGCCAAGCGUUAUCCGAAUUCACUGGGCGUAAAGCGUGUGCAGGCGGAGUGAUAAGUUGGAUGUGAAAUCUCCUGGCUCAACUGGGAGAGGCCGUUCAAUACUGUCAAUCUCGAGGGCAACAGAGGGAGGUGGAAUUCCCGGUGUAGUGGUGAAAUGCGUAGAUAUCGGGAGGAACACCAGUGGCGAAAGCGGCCUCCUGGGUUGCACCUGACGCUCAGACACGAAAGCUAGGGGAGCGAACGGGAUUAGAAACCCCGGUAGUCCUAGCCGUAAACGAUGUAGACUGGGUGUUGGAGGGGUAAAAGCCUUCAGUGCCGGAGCCAACGCGAUAAGUCUACCGCCUGGGGACUACGGCCGCAAGGUUAAAACUCAAAUAAAUUGACGGC